This 660-nucleotide ribosomal RNA is filed under the name Pseudomonas sp. JSM 082092-2. RNAcentral's name for it is "bacterial SSU rRNA". It matches the Rfam family "Bacterial small subunit ribosomal RNA", at positions 121 to 776 of the family's 1533-position model. The record is from RNAcentral. Lineage: Bacteria; Pseudomonadati; Pseudomonadota; Gammaproteobacteria; Pseudomonadales; Pseudomonadaceae.
GGAAUCUGCCUAGUAGUGGGGGACAACGUUUCGAAAGGAACGCUAAUACCGCAUACGUCCUACGGGAGAAAGUGGGGGAUCUUCGGACCUCACGCUAUUAGAUGAGCCUAGGUCGGAUUAGCUAGUUGGUAGGGUAAAGGCCUACCAAGGCGACGAUCCGUAACUGGUCUGAGAGGAUGAUCAGUCACACUGGAACUGAGACACGGUCCAGACUCCUACGGGAGGCAGCAGUGGGGAAUAUUGGACAAUGGGCGAAAGCCUGAUCCAGCCAUGCCGCGUGUGUGAAGAAGGCCUUCGGGUCGUAAAGCACUUUAAGUUGGGAGGAAGGGCUCAUAGCGAAUACCUGUGAGUUUUGACGUUACCAACAGAAUAAGCACCGGCUAACUUCGUGCCAGCAGCCGCGGUAAUACGAAGGGUGCAAGCGUUAAUCGGAAUUACUGGGCGUAAAGCGCGCGUAGGUGGCUUGAUAAGUUGGAUGUGAAAUCCCCGGGCUCAACCUGGGAACUGCAUCCAAAACUGUCUGGCUAGAGUGCGGUAGAGGGUAGUGGAAUUUCCAGUGUAGCGGUGAAAUGCGUAGAUAUUGGAAGGAACACCAGUGGCGAAGGCGACUACCUGGACUGACACUGACACUGAGGUGCGAAAGCGUGGGGAGCAAACAGG